GACGAACGCUGGCGGCGUGCCUAAUACAUGCAAGUAGAACGCACAGUUUAUACCGUAGCUUGCUACACCAUAGACUGUGAGUUGCGAACGGGUGAGUAACGCGUAGGUAACCUGCCUGGUAGCGGGGGAUAACUAUUGGAAACGAUAGCUAAUACCGCAUAAUAUUAAUUAUUGCAUGAUAAUUAAUUGAAAGGUGCAAUUGCACCACUACCAGGUGGACCUGCGUUGUAUUAGCUAGUAGGUGAGGUAACGGCUCACCUAGGCGACGAUACAUAGCCGACCUGAGAGGGUGGUCGGCCACACUGGGACUGAGACACGGCCCAGACUCCUACGGGAGGCAGCAGUAGGGAAUCUUCGGCAAUAGACGAAAGUCUGACCGAGCAACGCCGCGUGAGUGAAGAAGGUUUUCGGAUCGUAAAGCUCUGUUGUAAGAGAAGAACGGGUGUGAGAGUGGAAAGUUCACACUGUGACGGUAUCUUACCAGAAAGGGACGGCUAACUACGUG
Molecule: ribosomal RNA, 505 nt
Filed under: uncultured bacterium
Lineage: Bacteria
Description: partial 16S ribosomal RNA
Rfam family: Bacterial small subunit ribosomal RNA
Source: RNAcentral